UCUUGCGUAUUUAAUGUAAUUAUACAAAAAAUCCGGAUACAAUAUAUUGUAGUACUGCAAUAGUCGUAUCUUCGUAUACACGCAUCUUAUAAAUAUUUAUUAUUAUAACAAACUAAUGGUAUCGUAAGUAUACAGUAGCGCAAUAAAGUGUCACCCAAUGAACUAUAAUCCGCAAUGAAGCGUAUGCAUACCCAAAAUUACAUCCCCUUGACUUCAUUUGGCUGGGCUGAAUUGGGAUAAUCAAAUCUAAAUAAACAAAAAAUCACACUCUUCCAGUAACAACACUGUAAAAUUCGUGUUGAAAUUAGACCACUUUUAGCACUUAGAUCCGCCAAUAAAAUGACUAAUUCCCGAAAUGAAGUUCAUUUGUUGCAGAGAGUGCUGC
Non-coding RNA from Cinara cedri, 385 nucleotides. NCBI's taxonomy places the organism in Eukaryota, Metazoa, Arthropoda, Insecta, Hemiptera, Aphididae. The record is from the annotation of a GenBank genome assembly.